AACGCACCUUGCGCCCCUUGGUAUUCCGAGGGGCAUGCCUGUUUGAGUGUCAUUAAAUUCUCAACCUUUACUAGCUUUUUGUGAGCUAUGUAAUGGCUUGGAUGUGGGGGUUUUUUUGCUGGCUUCGAAAGAAAUCAGCUCCCCUGAAAUAUAUUAGCUGGUGCCCCCGCGUGGACCGUCUACUGGUGUGAUAAUUAUCUAUGCCGUUAGAUGUCUGCUUUAAAUAAUGGGGAUGCGCUGCUUCUAAUCGUCCACUUAGGACAAUUAUUGACUAUUUGACCUCAAAUCAGGUAGGACUACCCGCUGAACUUAA
RNAcentral lists this unclassified non-coding RNA (313 nucleotides) under uncultured fungus. RNAcentral's name for it is "partial contains 5.8S ribosomal RNA, internal transcribed spacer 2, and large subunit ribosomal RNA". The stretch from base 1 to 52 matches the Rfam family "5.8S ribosomal RNA", at positions 103 to 154 of the family's 154-position model. The record is from RNAcentral. RNAcentral also lists the same sequence under 1 other name. Lineage: Eukaryota; Fungi.